UACGUAGGUGGCAAGCGUUAUCCGGAGUUAUUGGGCGUAAAGCGCGCGCAGGUGGUUAAUUGAGUCUGAUGUGAAAGCCCACGGCUUAACCGUGGAGGGUCAUUGGAAACUGGUUGACUUGAGUGCAGAAGAGGGAAGUGGAAUUCCAUGUGUAGCGGUGAAAUGCGUAGAGAUAUGGAGGAACACCAGUGGCGAAGGCGGCUUCCUGGUCUGCAACUGACACUGAGGCGCGAAAGCGUGGGGAGCAAACAUG
This 253-nucleotide ribosomal RNA is filed under the name uncultured bacterium. RNAcentral describes it as "partial 16S ribosomal RNA". It matches the Rfam family "Bacterial small subunit ribosomal RNA", at positions 524 to 776 of the family's 1533-position model. The record is from RNAcentral.